GAUGAACGCUGGCGGCGUGCCUAAUACAUGCAAGUCGAGCGAACAGACGAGGAGCUUGCUCCUCUGACGUUAGCGGCGGACGGGUGAGUAACACGUGGAUAACCUACCUAUAAGACUGGGAUAACUUCGGGAAACCGGAGCUAAUACCGGAUAAUAUAUUGAACCUCAUGGUUCAAUAGUGAAAGACGGUUUUGCUGUCACUUAUAGACGGAUCCGCGCCGCAUUAGCUAGUUGGUAAGGUAACGGCUUACCAAGGCGACGAUGGGUAGCCGACCUGAGAGGGUGAUCGGCCACACUGGAACUGAGACACGGUCCAGACUCCUACGGGAGGAAGCAGUAGGGAAUCUUCCGCAAUGGGCGAAAGCCUGACGGAGCAACGCCGCGUGAGUGAUGAAGGUCUUCGGAUCGUAAAACUCUGUUAUUAGGGAAGAACAAAUGUGUAAGUAACUAUGAACGUCUUGACGGUACCUAAUCAGAAAGCCACGGCUAACUACGUG
This 497-nucleotide ribosomal RNA is filed under the name uncultured bacterium. RNAcentral's name for it is "partial 16S ribosomal RNA". It matches the Rfam family "Bacterial small subunit ribosomal RNA", at positions 28 to 507 of the family's 1533-position model. The record is from RNAcentral.